This 496-nucleotide ribosomal RNA is filed under the name uncultured bacterium. RNAcentral describes it as "partial 16S ribosomal RNA". It matches the Rfam family "Bacterial small subunit ribosomal RNA", at positions 28 to 507 of the family's 1533-position model. The record is from RNAcentral.
GAUGAACGCUGGCGGCGUGCCUAAUACAUGCAAGUCGAGCGAACAGACGAGGAGCUUGCUCCUUCGACGUUAGCGGCGGACGGGUGAGUAACACGUAGGUAACCUACCUAUAAGACUGGGAUAACUUCGGGAAACCGGAGCUAAUACCGGAUAAUAUUUCGAACCGCAUGGUUCGAUAGUGAAAGAUGGCUUUGCUAUCACUUAUAGAUGGACCUGCGCCGUAUUAGCUAGUUGGUAGGUAACGGCUUACCAAGGCAACGAUACGUAGCCGACCUGAGAGGGUGAUCGGCCACACUGGAACUGAGACACGGUCCAGACUCCUACGGGAGGCAGCAGUAGGGAAUCUUCCGCAAUGGGCGAAAGCCUGACGGAGCAACGCCGCGUGAGUGAUGAAGGUCUUCGGAUCGUAAAACUCUGUUAUUAGGGAAGAACAAACGUGUAAGUAACUGUGCACGUCUUGACGGUACCUAAUCAGAAAGCCACGGCUAACUACGUG